RNAcentral lists this ribosomal RNA (495 nucleotides) under uncultured Bacillota bacterium. Its description in RNAcentral is "bacterial SSU rRNA". It matches the Rfam family "Bacterial small subunit ribosomal RNA", at positions 97 to 573 of the family's 1533-position model. Lineage: Bacteria; Bacillati; Bacillota. The record is from RNAcentral.
GGCGAAAGGGUGAGUAACACAUAGGCAAUCUACCCGAGAGUCCGGGAUAAUCGCUGGAAACGGCGACUAAUACCGGAUGGCCCGAGUCGGAGGCAUCUCCGGCCCGGUAAAGGAGGGGACCUUCGGGCCUUCCGCUCACGGAGGAGCCUAUGUCCUAUCAGCUCGUUGGUGGGGUAACGGCCCACCAAGGCGAUGACGGGUAGCCGGAUUGAGAGGUUGGCCGGCCACACUGGGACUGAGACACUGCCCAGACUCCUACGGGAGGCUGCAGUCGAGAAUCUUCCGCAAUGGGCGCAAGCCUGACGGAGCGACGCCGCGUGGAGGACGAAGGCCCUCGGGUUGUAAACUCCUGUCACGUGACGAGAAAGGCGCACGGUUAAUACCCGUGCGUUUGACAACUCAUGAGAGGAAGUCACGGCUAACUCUGUGCCAGCAGCCGCGGUAAUACAGAGGUGGCUAGCGUUGUUCGGAAUCACUGGGCAUAAAGGGCGCGUA